RNA transcript from Fukomys damarensis (Damara mole-rat), 4942 nucleotides. It is a transcript of the gene named A-kinase anchoring protein 10, with no coding region annotated. The transcript is spliced from 17 exons. Lineage: Eukaryota; Metazoa; Chordata; Mammalia; Rodentia; Bathyergidae. The record is from RefSeq and is a predicted model, not a curated record.
UUUUUUACAGUAUGUGAAAGGAUCUCUUUGGCUGCAAAGGUUGGUCAUGAUACCCUUUUGUCUUGUAGUGAAAGGCAAAGAAGAAGAGAAGACCUCAGAUGUCAAGUCCAAUAAAGGUCCUGGCUGUGUAAGUGAUGGGAUCACAGCUUCAAUAGCCGUAUAUUCCCCACAAAAAAGUACUAAAAAUCAUGCCUUGCUGGAGGCUGCAGGACCAAGUCAUGUUGCAAUCAAUGCCAUUUCUGCCAACAUGGACUCCUUUUCAAGCAGCAGGACAGCAACACUUAAGAAACAACCAAGCCACAUGGAGGCUGCUCACUUUGGGGACCUGGGCAGAUCUUGUCUGGACUACCAGACUCAAGAGACCAAAUCAAGUCUUUCAAAAACUCUCGAACAAGUCUUGCACGACACUGUUGUCCUCCCAUACUUCAUUCAGUUCAUGGAACUUCGGAGAAUGGAACAUUUGGUUAAAUUUUGGUUAGAGGCUGAGAGUUUUCACUCUACCACUUGGUCUCGAAUAAGAGCACACAGUCUGAAUACAGUGAAGCAGAGCUCACUGGCUGAGCCUGUCUCUCCAUCUAAAAAGCACGAAACUGCAGCAUCUUUUAUAACUGAGUCCCUUGACAAGAGAUUGGAAGAUUCUUGUGCAGCCCAAUUGCUUAUGACUCAGUCAGAAGGAAUUGACCUGAAUAAUAGAACUAACAGCAGUCAGAAUCACUUGCUGCUUUCCCAAGAAUGUGACAGAACCUAUUCUUUCCAUCUUGAAAUGGCUAGAGCAGGAACUCAUCUGGUUUCCGUGGAAACUCAAGAAUCUUCCUCCAGACUUACAAUAGCCAGUAGAAACAUUCCCUCUUCUCCACUGAAAGAAUUAUCAGGAAAACUAAUGAAAAGUAUAGAACAAGAUGCAGUGAAUACUUUUACCAAAUAUAUAUCUCCAGAUGCUGCUAAGCCCAUACCAAUUACAGAAGCAAUGAGAAAUGACAUCAUAGCAAAGAUCUGUGGAGAAGAUGGACAAGUGGAUCCCAAUUGUUUUGUUUUGGCGCAGGCCAUAGUCUUUAAUGCAAUGGAGCAAGAGCACUUUAGUGAGUUUCUGCGAAGUCACCAUUUCUGUAAAUACCAAAUUGAAGUGCUGACCAGUGGAACUGUCUACCUGGCUGACAUUCUCUUCUGUGAGUCAGCUCUCUUUUAUUUCUCUGAGUACAUGGAAAAAGAAGAUGCAGUGAAUAUUUUGCAAUUCUGGUUGGCAGCAGAUAACUUUCAGUCUCAGCUUGCUGCCAAAAAGGGCCAGUAUGAUGGACAGGAGGCACAGAAUGAUGCCAUGAUUUUAUAUGACAAAUACUUCUCCCUCCAAGCCACACAUCCUCUUGGAUUUGAUGAUGUUGUACGGUUAGAAAUUGAAUCUAAUAUUUGCAGGGAAGGUGGGCCACUCCCUAACUGUUUUACAACUCCAUUACGUCAGGCCUGGACAACUAUGGAGAAGGUCUUUCUGCCUGGCUUUUUGUCCAGUAACCUUUAUUAUAAGUAUUUGAAUGAUCUCAUUCAUUCUGUUCGAGGAGAUGAAUUUCUGGGAGGGAGUGUUUCGCUGACUGCUCAUGGCUCUGUUGGCCUGCCUGAUGAAUCUCACCCUGGUGGUUCUGACAGUGCCACUUCUCAGUCCAGUGUGAAAAAAGCCAGUAUUAAAAUUUUGAAAAAUUUUGAUGAAGCGAUAAUUGUGGAUGCUGCAAGUCUGGAUCCAGAAUCUUUAUAUCAACGGACAUAUGCAGGGAAGAUGACAUUUGGAAGAGUCAGUGACUUGGGGCAGUUCAUUCGAGAAUCUGAGCCUGAACCUGAUGUAAAGAAAUCAAGAGGAUCUAUGUUCUCACAAGCUAUGAAGAAGUGGGUGCAAGGAAAUACUGAUGAGGCCCAAGAAGAGCUGGCUUGGAAGAUUGCCAAAAUGAUAGUCAGUGACGUUAUGCAGCAAGCACAGUAUGACCAACCAUUAGAAAAAUCUACAAAGCUAUGACUCAAGGCCUGAGAUAAAGGACAUCUUCUUUUGAAGUAUAAGAGAACUUUGUCCUUUGGUUGGAUUCUACAACACAGCCAGUGAAAACAGAGCACUGUAUUUUUUUCACUGAUACAUCACUGUUGUUUCCAAGAAAGAAUGGGAGACAAUCCUAGACCAUAUUGCAGAAUAACAUGUAGCCAUAAAAUGAUGCACAUGGUGUUCGCACAGUGAGUCACAAAGAUACAAAAUGGGCAUUGACGGCUCUUUAUAUAUUGCUCCUUCCUAAUAUAUCCAUACCCAGAACAUGAGCAACUACUGGAUUUAGCCUUGUGUUAACAGUGUAGGCAUAGAACUGAGGAACUCUUCAUGCCAUACAACAGGCUCUUAGCUGAAACUCCUGGCCAGCACUUAGCUCUUCAGAGAAACAUAGCUCCAAAUGGUGGGUCAAAGCCCAGAAGCUCACCAAGGCUACCAACACAUCCAGCCAGAUUUUAGCUUUGCUUCUCUUACCAAGGAGCAGCCAUUGUUCCUUUAAUUACAGAACUAUUGGUUUAAUAAAUGUACACCCUGUGCGUGUCAAGCAUUAUUUACAGUACAGGGACACGGAAUAAAACUUCCAGGCCUCUUAGAGCUACUGAGGAGGAGCUGGAAAUUAGAAAUUACAUCUAAAAUAUGUGCUGGGCUGGACAUGUCAGUGGGAGAGUACAUGUGUAGGAUGCAUGAAAUUCCAAGUUCAAAAACACUGAAAAAUUAAUAAAAUAUGUUCUGGUAUUUUUUAUUUGGGAUGGCCUUUUGAACGCAUGAUGUAACCUUUUUACACCUCUUCCUCAUGGCAACUGAAAAUCAGCUGGCUCUUGGCUGAGCUAAUAGGGAGAAUGUAGUUUGGAGAGAGUGGGACAGAGGAACUGAGGGAGCAUUACCCUCUUCACCCUCUCAGCCUCAACCUUCCGCAAGGACUAGUUGCUGUGGCAUUCCAUUUAUUUACACUUAGGUGUUGAUGAAAGUGUCAACAUCUUGAUGUCAGACCAUCAAAGUGAGUCUCUGAAUAAGACAAAGUAUAGAAAAGUUCGCAGGAUCAAUCUUAGCUCUCUGCAGAGUUUUGGUGCAUGUUAAUUCUCAGAGCAAGGAAAAUAAUAUGAGGUUAUGUGCAUGUGAUAUGAGAUCAUGGCCUUAAGGUUUUAAGCUAAUUCCAUUAAGUGAUGAGCUUCUUGUAAGUUGUACUUUAAUAAUAAUAGCCAGCAUAAUUGAGUACUAUCUUAUCUGAUCCAUAUAACAUUCUUACAAGGUUAAAUGCUUGUUUUUUUCUAUCAUAAAUGAGGAUGCUGAGGCUUGCCAAAUAAAGGAAUUUUUCUAGGAUCUCAUAGCUAAGAAUCAAACCCAAGCAGCAAGGCUGCUGCUCACCCACUGUUGUGUCAGACUGUAAUGUUUGUUCAUCUUUCUUUUAUUUUGCCAUACUGGUCAGUAUUUACCACAGACUAAUACAGCAGAGGUUAGAGGCUUAAGAAAAAAUUAGUGGGUUCUGGCUUUAAAAUGUAAAACACCCUAUCCUUUAUCUUCAAGCAAUAGUUCUUUUAACUUUCAUACACAUCUGGAUCUCCUGAAAAACUUGUUAAAACAGAGUUCCUGAUUUAGUAAAUCCGGGGUGGUGUCAGAAUUUGCAUUUCUAACAAAUUCCCAGAUGAUGAUGUUGAUGCUGUAGUCAUCAGUACUUGUUAUUUUCCCAGCCUUUGCUGCAGACAGGGUCCGUGGAAUAUUCUUCCAGGACCGAGGCUUCAGGCUGUUGGGAUAAUACCCAGGGUCCCUGUGAAACCCUUUGCACAGAUCCUGCCUGGUCCAUUUCCUCCAUUUGCCUCCCAAAUCCUUGAUGACACUUGCCCUGUGAGAUUCUGACCAUGCCUUUCUUGACCUAUUUCUCCUUUGCUGAUCACCUUUCCAAGUCCCUCCCAUAGGAUGCUCUUGAUACAUCUUCCUUUUCUUCUUUUCCUCCUUCUUGCUCUCAGGUCCCUCUUCCUGCACCUGUUUCCCAAGACCUGUUAUAUGCCUGUUCUAGCUGCUAGGGAAUACAGCAGUGUCCAGGGCGGACAUACUACCUGUUUUCCUUGCAGUCUUGAAAACAUAAUCACAACUCAUUAUGAUGAUUAUUGUGAGAGAAAGAAACCUGUUGGGGGCAAUUUAAGGGAAUUUUCCCCCACCCCCUUCCCGGCCAUCUCAGUUUUUCUCCAGGACCUCCUCAUUCUGCACAUCUCUUUAACUCAGAAUACCAUUUCUUGGGGCCAGGGAUGUAGCUCGGUGGUACUGUGGCCACCUGGCAAGUGCAAGGUUCUGAGUUUGAUCCUUGAUAUGGGGGGGGUGCCAUUUUUUCACAACCCUGACACAUGUAGGCCUCUCCCACCCCCCAGACUCCCCAACUAGACAAGGACUCCAGGUUAGCCUUGUCCACAAGCCCCUGUGCAGGACUUUGCUCCACAUCCUCAUUCAAACCCUUGUUACCUGGGGAGGCUGUCCCCUCCCAUCAGCUUUCUUCACUCCAUUCCCACCCCAGGAAACAUUGCUGCCCAUGGUGAUCUGCCCAAAACCUAGCCUCCAACUUUGGUCUCUUGGUAUUUUACUCUCCAGUGACCCCCAUAACUGGUUGGUUGUCAUUUCUUGCAACUAUUCUACCUCUGGCUGCUCCUCACACAUUGUAGUCUACCAGCCUAAAAAGCAAGACAAGUUUUUUAUGGUUAUUGUUUCUCCUAUUGGAAUGAGUUAGAAGGGAAUAAGAAAAGUCAUUAUUCUAGAAAGAUAUUCCCUCAUACGUCGAGUAAGGUUUUGCAAACUAGCCUUUCAAAAAGCAAUUCAAAAGCAAUAAGUAUGUGGUUCUGUUGCAAGGAUUAGAAACGUAUACCUACACGGUAGCCAGGCGUGGUGGUGCACACCUGUAAUCCCAAUACUUGGGAGGCUCAGGCAGGAGGAUCACUG